Molecule: ribosomal RNA, 1526 nt
Filed under: Tropheryma whipplei TW08/27
Lineage: Bacteria; Bacillati; Actinomycetota; Actinomycetes; Micrococcales; Tropherymataceae
Description: bacterial SSU rRNA
Rfam family: Bacterial small subunit ribosomal RNA
Source: RNAcentral
UUAUUAUGGAGAGUUUGAUCCUGGCUCAGGACGAACGCUGGCGGCGUGCUUAACACAUGCAAGUCGAACGGAAAUCAGGGAGCUUGCUCCCUGUGAUUAGUGGCGAACGGGUGAGUAACACGUGAGCAACCUGCCCCUAACUUUGGGAUAACUUCGGGAAACCGGGGCUAAUACCAAAUACGACCCAUGAGGGCAUCCUCUGUGGGUGGAAAGAAUUUCGGUUGGGGAUGGGCUCGCGGCCUAUCAGCUUGUUGGUGGGGUAACGGCCUACCAAGGCAUCGACGGGUAGCCGGCCUGAGAGGGUGAUCGGCCACACUGGGACUGAGACACGGCCCAGACUCCUACGGGAGGCAGCAGUGGGGAAUAUUGCACAAUGGGCGCAAGCCUGAUGCAGCAACGCCGCGUGGGGGAAGAAGGCCUUCGGGUUGUAAACCUCUUUUGGCAGGGAAGAAGCGAAAGUGACGGUACCUGCAGAAAAAGCGCCGGCUAACUACGUGCCAGCAGCCGCGGUAAUACGUAGGGCGCGAGCGUUGUCCGGAAUUAUUGGGCGUAAAGAGCUCGUAGGCGGUUUGUCACGUCUGCCGUGAAAAUCCGAGGCUCAACCUCGGACCUGCGGUGGGUACGGGCAGGCUAGAGUGCGAUAGGGGAGAGCGGAAUUCCUGGUGUAGCGGUGAAAUGCGCAGAUAUCAGGAGGAACACCGAUGGCGAAGGCAGCUCUCUGGGUCGCUACUGACGCUGAGGAGCGAAAGCGUGGGGAGCGAACAGGAUUAGAUACCCUGGUAGUCCACGCCGUAAACGUUGGGCGCUAGACGUGGGGGUGGUUCCACCGCUUCCGUGUCGCAGCUAACGCAUUAAGCGCCCCGCCUGGGGAGUACGGCCGCAAGGCUAAAACUCAAGGGAAUUGACGGGGGCCCGCACAAGCGGCGGAGCAUGCGGAUUAAUUCAAUGCAACGCGAAGAACCUUACCAAGGCUUGAUAUAUACCGGAAAGGCGUAGAGAUACGCCCCCCGCAAGGUCGGUAUACAGGUGGUGCACGGUUGUCGUCAGCUCGUGUCGUGAGAUGUUGGGUUAAGUCCCGCAACGAGCGCAACCCUCGUCCUGUGUUGCCAGCGCGUAAUGGCGGGGACUCACAGGAGACUGCCGGGGUCAACUCGGAGGAAGGUGGGGAUGACGUCAAAUCAUCAUGCCCUUCGGUCUUGGGCUUCACGCGUGCUACAAUGGCUGGUACAGAGGGUUGCAAUAUCGCAAGGUGGAGCGAAUCUCAAAAAGCCAGUCUCAGUUCGGAUUGGGGUCUGCAACUCGACCCCAUGAAGUCGGAGUCGCUAGUAAUCGCAGAUCAGCAAUGCUGCGGUGAAUACGUUCCCGGGCCUUGUACACACCGCCCGUCAAGUCAUGAAAGCUGGUAACACCCGAAGCCGGUGACUUAACCUUUUUUGGAGAGAGCCGUCGAAGGUGGGAUUGGUGAUUGGGACUAAGUCGUAACAAGGUAGCCGUACCGGAAGGUGCGGCUGGAUCACCUCCUUUCU